AAGUUAUAAUGCAGACAUUUCCUAAAUAAAUCUUUAAACCUCUCCCAUGGCUCAAGUAAUGAUUCAAUGUCCAACUGUGCAUAUGUUGUAAUCUCUUGACACAACUU
Small nucleolar RNA from Dioscorea cayenensis subsp. rotundata (Guinea yam), 107 nucleotides. NCBI's taxonomy places the organism in Eukaryota, Viridiplantae, Streptophyta, Magnoliopsida, Dioscoreales, Dioscoreaceae. The record is from RefSeq and is a predicted model, not a curated record.